Molecule: ribosomal RNA, 531 nt
Filed under: Ustilaginoidea virens
Lineage: Eukaryota; Fungi; Ascomycota; Sordariomycetes; Hypocreales; Clavicipitaceae
Description: LSU rRNA
Rfam family: Eukaryotic large subunit ribosomal RNA
Source: RNAcentral
UCUGGCCCCCCGGGGCCCGAGUUGUAAUUUGUAGAGGAUGCUUCUGGCGAGGUGCCUUCCGAGUUCCCUGGAACGGGACGCCAUAGAGGGUGAGAGCCCCGUCUGGCUGGACGCCGAGCCUCUGUGAAGCUCCUUCGACGAGUCGAGUAGUUUGGGAAUGCUGCUCUAAAUGGGAGGUAUAUGUCUUCUAAAGCUAAAUACCGGCCAGAGACCGAUAGCGCACAAGUAGAGUGAUCGAAAGAUGAAAAGCACUUUGAAAAGAGGGUUAAACAGUACGUGAAAUUGUUGAAAGGGAAGCGCUCGUGACCAGACGUGGGCCUCGGCGGAUCAUCCAGCGGUCUCCCGCUGGUGCACUCCGCCGGGCCCAGGCCAGCAUCAGUUUGCCCUGGGGGAUAAAGGCUCCGGGAACGUGGCUCCUCCGGGAGUGUUAUAGCCCGCCGCGCAAUACCCUGGGGCGGACUGAGGUUCGCGCAUCUUUUGCUAGGAUGCUGGCGUAAUGGUUAUCAGCGGCCCGUCUUGAAACACGGACCA